CCGUAUUAAGUUGAGUUAGUAGCUUUUGUUUAGCUGAUAUCUCCCUUUCAUUAUGUUAUGUUGUAAAAUAGGUCGUAUUCUAUUUCCCUAGCCGCUAUUUAACAAGGCUUUGCUACAGCGAUGGGGCUUCACCGUAGAGAGAAUGUCUUAGGGAGCUGAGGUUCACCAUAGCAAAGGUGGACCUGUUACAAAUGGUUUUCCAUAGUGAAGCUUUGUUCGCUACAGUGGGUCUGCUGCAGCGGACAAGAUCUAUAUGGCAAAUGAUGCAAGACAGAAUGCAUCUUAAAGACAACUAGUUAUGUAGACGAGGACAUCCUAGCUAGCAUGAGCAAAGUUGAUGAUAGUAAUUAGCCCGUAUUGGUUCAAGUGGAUGAAGAGUCUUUAUCAUCUAUAAUUGUGUAUUCUAAACUUGAGAAUUAUUUUAUUAGUCAGUUUUGAAUACUUUGGUUAUCUUAAGACUUACAAGUUAUGUGUUGAACUUUCUAACUAUACUUUCGUGAUCUAGUUUUAUUCUAUUACAGCA
Long non-coding RNA from Solanum dulcamara, 523 nucleotides. RefSeq lists it as uncharacterized. The transcript has 2 exons. The record is from RefSeq and is a predicted model, not a curated record. Lineage: Eukaryota; Viridiplantae; Streptophyta; Magnoliopsida; Solanales; Solanaceae.